RNAcentral lists this ribosomal RNA (960 nucleotides) under uncultured bacterium. RNAcentral describes it as "bacterial SSU rRNA". It matches the Rfam family "Bacterial small subunit ribosomal RNA", at positions 56 to 1060 of the family's 1533-position model. The record is from RNAcentral.
UGCAGUCGAGCGCCGUAGCAAUACGGAGCGGCAGACGGGUGAGUAACGCGUGGGAACGUGCCUUUUGGUUCGGAACAACUGAGGGAAACUUCAGCUAAAACCGGAUAAGCCCUUCGGGGGAAAGUUUACGCCAAAAGAUCGGCCCGCGUCAGAUUAGCUAGUUGGUGGGGUAAUGGCCUACCAAGGCGACGAUCUGUAGCUGUUCUGAGAGGAAGAUCAGCCACAUUGGGACUGAGACACGGCCCAAACUCCUACGGGAGGCAGCAGUGGGGAAUAUUGGACAAUGGGCGCAAGCCUGAUCCAGCUAUGCCGCGUGGAUGAAGAAGGCCCUAGGGUUGUAAAGUCCUUUCGUUGGUGAAGAUAAUGACGGUAACCAAAGAAGAAGCCCCGGCUAAUUUCGUGCCAGCAGCCGCGGUAAUACGAAAGGGGCUAGCGUUGUUCGGAAUUACUGGGCGUAAAGCGCACGUAGGCGGCCUUGUAAGAUGGGGGUGAAAUCCCUGGGCUCAACCCAGGAACUGCCUUCAUGACUGCAAAGCUUGAGGAUGUGAGAGGUUGGCGGAAUUCCGAGUGUAGAGGUGAAAUUCGUAGAUAUUCGGAAGAACACCAGUGGCGAAGGCGGCCAACUGGCACAUUUCUGACGCUGAGGUGCGAAAGCAUGGGGAGCAAACAGGAUUAGAUACCCUGGUAGUCCACGCUGUAAACGAUGGGGGCUAGUUGUCGGCGCGCUUGCGUGUCGGUGACGCAGCUAACGCUUUAAGCCCCCCGCCUGGGGAGUACGGUCGCAAGAUUAAAACUCAAAGGAAUUGACGGGGGCCCGCACAAGCGGUGGAGCAUGUUGGUUUAAUUCGAAGCAACGCGAAGAACCUUACCAGCCCUUGACUUGUCCUGGAACCGUAGCAGAGAUGCACGCGGGUGCCGUAAGGAACCAGGAACACAGGUGUUGCAUGGCUGUCGUCAGCU